AGGGAAAGUUGAAAAGAACUUUGAAGAGAGAGUUCAAGAGUACGUGAAACCGUUCAGGGGUAAACCUGAGAAACCCAAAAGAUCGAAUGGGGAGAUUCAUCGUCAGCUCAUUUUGUAUAUGUAUGAGUUAUGAUGCGAGUUACUCUUGUAGUAUUGCUUGCACAUACUUGUAUAUUUAUUUGCAAGAUGUUGUCGGCGUGCACUUCUCCCCUAGUAGAACGUCGCGACCCGUUGGAUGUCGGUCUACGACCCGAGUGGGAGACUUUAAUAUUUUUUAUAAUAUUAAAGACCCUUGGUGUUUUCUGACCGGCUGUCCGGCGGUACUCGUACGGUAUUUAGCCGCAUAUUAUUUGCGUCCAUGCCCGUCGCAAGCGAGGCCAAUUUCUGGUAGUGCGGACCUAGUGCCGUCGCUGGGAUUGGCCAGCUGUUGGUUGUACGGAAUUCUAGGACUGGCUAUAAAAUAUUUACCGGUCGGCGAUGCUACUGCUUUGGGUACUUUCAGGACCCGUCUUGAAACACGGACCAAGGAGUCUAAACAUGUGCGCGAGUCAUUGGGAUUUUUUAAAAAUUAAACCUAAAGGCGUAAUGAAAGUAAAGGUCGUCCUUGCGUCGACUGAGGGAGGAUAAGUUGUGUUAAGAUACAGCUUCGCACUCCCGGGGCGUCUCAUUCUCAUUGCGAGAAGAGGCGCACCUAARGCGUACACGUU
Molecule: ribosomal RNA, 707 nt
Filed under: Heterospilus sp. ALW-2011
Lineage: Eukaryota; Metazoa; Arthropoda; Insecta; Hymenoptera; Braconidae
Description: eukaryotic LSU rRNA
Rfam family: Eukaryotic large subunit ribosomal RNA
Source: RNAcentral